AACUAGCUAAUUAUUCAAUUUGAGAGGAGAUUGAUACAUCUAUCCGUUGGAAAGUUUUGGCACCUCGAUUUCUGCUCUUCGCCACUUGGGGUUGUAGUAUGUUUCAAGGGUUGGGUUGUUUGCCCAACAAAGCGGUAUGUGAGCUGGGUUCAGAACAUUGUGAAACAAUUC
Beta vulgaris subsp. vulgaris (sugar beet) is the source of this 171-nucleotide non-coding RNA. Lineage: Eukaryota; Viridiplantae; Streptophyta; Magnoliopsida; Caryophyllales; Amaranthaceae. The record is from Rfam.